RNAcentral lists this ribosomal RNA (572 nucleotides) under uncultured bacterium. Its description in RNAcentral is "partial 16S ribosomal RNA". It matches the Rfam family "Bacterial small subunit ribosomal RNA", at positions 355 to 918 of the family's 1533-position model. The record is from RNAcentral.
UGGGGAAUUUGACAAUGGGCGAAAGCCUGAUCCAGCAAUGCCGCGUGUGUGAAGAAGGCCUUCGGGUUGUAAAGCACUUUUGUCCGGAAAGAAAUCCUUGGCUCUAAUACAGUCGGGGGAUGACGGUACCGGAAGAAUAAGCACCGGCUAACUACGUGCCAGCAGCCGCGGUAAUACGUAGGGUGCAAGCGUUAAUCGGAAUUACUGGGCGUAAAGCGUGCGCAGGCGGUUUGCUAAGACCGAUGUGAAAUCCCCGGGCUCAACCUGGGAACUGCAUUGGUGACUGGGCAGGCUAGAGUAUGGCAGAGGGGGGUAGAAUUCCACGUGUAGCAGUGAAAUGCGUAGAGAUGUGGAGGAAUACCGAUGGCGAAGGCAGCCCCCUGGGCCAAUACUGACGCUCAUGCACGAAAAGCGUGGGGAGCAAAACAGGAUUAGAUACCCCUGGUAGUCCACGCCCUAAACGAUGUCAACUAGUUGUUGGGGAUUCAUUUCCUUAGUAACGUAGCUAACGCGUGAAGUUGACCGCCUGGGGAGUACGGUCGCAAGAUUAAAACUCAAAUGAAUUGACGGGG